RNAcentral lists this ribosomal RNA (263 nucleotides) under Colpodella angusta. Its description in RNAcentral is "partial small subunit ribosomal RNA". It matches the Rfam family "Eukaryotic small subunit ribosomal RNA", at positions 1560 to 1831 of the family's 1831-position model. Lineage: Eukaryota; Colpodellaceae. The record is from RNAcentral.
GUGCAUCGUGAUGGGGAUAGAUUAUUGUAAUUAUUAAUCUUCAACGAGGAAUUCCUAGUAGGUGCAUGUCAUCAGCAUGCGCCGAUUACGUCCCUGCCCUUUGUACACACCGCCCGUCGCUCCUACCGAUUGAAUGUUCCGGUGAAUUAUUCGGACUGUGUUUUAGUAGCAAUAUUAGAAUAUGGGAAGUCUUGUGAACCUUAACAUUUAGAGGAAGGAAAAGUCGUAACAAGGUUUCCGUAGGCUUCUGAAAACUGUGGCGG